ACAAGCGGUGGAGCAUGUGGUUAAUUCGAAGCAACGCGAAGACCUUACCAGGCCUUGACAUGCAGAGAACUUCCAGAGAUGGAUUGGUGCCUUCGGGAACUCUGACACAGGUGCUGCAUGGCUGUCGUCAGCGUCGUGUCGUGAGAUGUUGGGUUAAGUCCCGUAACGAGCGCAACCCUUGUCCUUAGUUACCAGCACGUUAUGGUGGGCACUCUAAGGAGACUGCCGGUGACAAACCGGAGGAAGGUGGGGAUGACGUCAAGUCAUCAUGGCCCUUACGGCCUGGGCUACACACGUGCUACAAUGGUCGGUACAAAGGGUUGCCAAGCCGCGAGGUGGAGCUAAUCCCAUAAAACCGAUCGUAGUCCGGAUCGCAGUCUGCAACUCGACUGCGUGAAGUCGGAAUCGCUAGUAAUCGUGAAUCAGAAUGUCACGGUGAAUACGUUCCCGGGCCUU
This 456-nucleotide ribosomal RNA is filed under the name uncultured Pseudomonas sp. RNAcentral describes it as "bacterial SSU rRNA". It matches the Rfam family "Bacterial small subunit ribosomal RNA", at positions 925 to 1382 of the family's 1533-position model. The record is from RNAcentral. Lineage: Bacteria; Pseudomonadati; Pseudomonadota; Gammaproteobacteria; Pseudomonadales; Pseudomonadaceae.